This 1937-nucleotide ribosomal RNA is filed under the name Pseudoharpagon pertyi. RNAcentral's name for it is "SSU rRNA". It matches the Rfam family "Eukaryotic small subunit ribosomal RNA". Lineage: Eukaryota; Heterolobosea; Eutetramitea; Lyromonadida; Psalteriomonadidae. The record is from RNAcentral.
UAUCGAUUAGCUUAUCUCAAGGAUUAAGCCAUGCAAAUGUAAGACCGCUUCGCCCCUCACGGGGUGAAAUCCAAUCUGUACACGGCUCCUUACCCAGCUCUCAAACGCCACUCUAGGCUUACCCUCUACAGGUAUACCAGAGUCAAAGGCAGUAAUAAUACCCGCUCUCUCAAGCACCGUAGUUUCGGCUACGGUGUGAAUAGGAAGGUGUCUAUGAAUAGCACUUCCUCCCGCUCUGGGGUGACCCAGGGCACGUUCACCCACUCUAAUGGGGACUCGAGACGGUAUUGCUAUUUAUCAGUUCGUAGGGAGGCUCUGUCCCUCCCCAGACGACCACGAGUACGGGGGAUUGGUGUUCAAAUCCGGAGAAGGAGCCUUAAAAACGGCUACUGGUACUAAGGUGUACAGCAGGCGCGAAACUUGCCCAAUGGUAGCCCGCUACCGAGGCAGUGACAAGAAAUAAGCACCUGCCUCGUCUUGAGGUAGGGUACUUGACCGCAAGGUCGGUUUACAAUGGUGGAGUGGUAACAGCGCUCCAGAGGAACAACCAGAGGGAAAGUCAGGUGCCAGCAUCCGCGGUAAUACCUGCUCUGGGAGUCAAUGAUAACGUUGCUGCGGUUAAAACGUUCGUAGCUCACAUAAGAGGGCUUCGGCGAAGUCAGGUCUACCCCACACUGUCAACCCGGAUCUUAAUCUGGACUGGUGGUGGCUACUUCGGUAGCGCUCCUCUCUUGAGGGGUUGGCGGUUCUCCUAUAGUCGCACUUGGUAGGCUAGCUGGUCUAUGACUGGCCAAGCGUAUCGUGCUGCGAUGGCUGAGUUGUUGUCUUCAAACCCCAUAACCUGUGAGCAAAUCAAAGGGACCAAGCCACGAUUAGUCGGUUGCUCUCGUCCUUGAUGAGAGCCUCCUACGAUGUAGCAUGUCCUAGCACAGAACCUCUUAUACUAGCGGCCUUGAGCUGCUGGAGGAGGCAAUGAGACCAGGCUCAAGUGAGCGGUACCUACCGAUCAGGGGUAAAAUCCGUACAGUCGGUAGAGACCAACAGAGGCGAAAGCUGCUCACUAGGGCUGAUCUAUCAGCGAGGGUCGAGAGUCAGGGGAGCCAAGAUGAUUAGAUACCGUCGUAGUCCUGACCUUAAACGAUCCAAGCAAGUGCUGAGGGCGACACCAUCGCCAGAUCGGCUUUAGAACCCCGGGAAACCUAUAGCUUUCAUGGUCCGGGGGGAGUAUGUUCGCAAGGAUGAAACUUAAAGGAAUUGACGGAAACUUACCACCAGGAGUGGAUUCUGCGGCUUAAUUCGACUCAACGCGUGGAAACUUACCAGGUCCAGACUGCUGGACGAUUGACAGGCUACAGACCUUUCUUGAUUAGCAAAACAGUGGUGCAUGGUCGUUCUAAGUUCGUGGAUUGGUCUGUCUGCUUAAUUGCGAUAACGAGCGAGAUCUCAAUCGUUACUUGGUAGUCGUUGAUCCCUGUGAUCACGAGAACAUGGGAACCAAGCCGGCUUCGGCUAGGCUAGGAGCUCCCUCCUCAUAGCGAGACCUCAGGCGACUUUAGCAGUCUUGAGGAUGGUGGAGGCUAGAACAGAUCCGUUAUGCCCUUAGAUGUCCUGGGCGGCACGCGUAAUACAAUGCAGUCUCUAAUAGGCAGGCAGAGCUCGUCUUCUUGACGACUCAGCGUACCUCACCUUGACUGGUCCGGCAAACCAGCAAUGCACAGCUUAUCUGGGAUCGUGGGUUGCAAGUCCCACGCGAACCAGGAAUUCCUAGUAAGCGGGGAUCAACAUUCCCCACUGAAUACGUCACUGAGUUUUGUACACACCGCCCGUCGCUCCUACCAAUUGAGAGUACGGAUAAGGUGGGGGGAACUUGGCUCUCGCUGAGUGAACCCCUCCAAAUCUCUGCUCUUGUAGGAAGGAGAAGUCGUAACAAGGUAUCU